UCAGUCGACUCCUACGGGGAGGCAGCAGUGGGGAAUAGUUGCACAAUGGGGGGAAAACCCUGAUGCAGCCAUGCCGCGUGUGUGAAGAAGGACCUUCGGGUUGUAAAGCACUUUCAGUAGGGAGGAAGGUAGUGUAGUUAACACCUGCAUUAUUUGACGUUACCUACAGAAGAAGCACCGGCUAACUCCGUGCCAGCAGCCGCGGUAAUACGGAGGGGUGCGAGCGUUAAUCGGAAUUACUGGGCGUAAAGCGCAUGCAGGCGGCCUGUUAAGUCAGAUGUGAAAGACCCGGGGCGUUAAACCUCGGAAUUGCAUUUGAAACUGGCAGGCUAGAGUCUUGUAGAGGGGGGUAGGAAUUUCAGGUGUAGCGGUGAAAUGCGUAGAGAUCUGAAGGAAUACCAGUGGCGAAGGCGGCCCCCUGGACAAAGACUGACGCUCAGAUGCGAAAGCGUGGGGAGCAAACAGGAUUAGAUACCCUGGUAG
Molecule: ribosomal RNA, 483 nt
Filed under: uncultured bacterium
Lineage: Bacteria
Description: bacterial SSU rRNA
Rfam family: Bacterial small subunit ribosomal RNA
Source: RNAcentral